RNAcentral lists this unclassified non-coding RNA (379 nucleotides) under Argentina songzhuensis. RNAcentral describes it as "[Argentina] songzhuensis partial external transcribed spacer". The record is from RNAcentral. Lineage: Eukaryota; Viridiplantae; Streptophyta; Magnoliopsida; Rosales; Rosaceae.
GUGCUUCGGCAUCGAACCGUCCGCGCACGCUCCAUGUCAGUGAUGCAUCAAGAAUUUCUUGUGCCCCGAACGGAUUCCUGUAUUUKUUGCCUAUCGUAAAGGAAUGGUUCCUCUCGUUGACCCUUUCCUUCCCCGACCCAUGCGGCCUGGGGAAGGACAUCAUAGCAWCGCUUGUGCCCCUAGUACUGAACGUGCCUCAUGGCGCGCACAUUGCGAAGGUUCCCAAGUUGCAUGCUUGAUAUCUCGGAUACGGAAAAUGCGGUGGACUCGGGGUCUUUGCACCCUUGCACGUCCAAUUUAAAGCGAAAUGUACGACYGCCAAGCUCGUUGCGGGGUUUCCCGCGCGYUGCUUGGCGUCGACAAAGGAUGCUACCUGGUU